RNAcentral lists this ribosomal RNA (1214 nucleotides) under uncultured organism. Its description in RNAcentral is "bacterial SSU rRNA". It matches the Rfam family "Bacterial small subunit ribosomal RNA", at positions 146 to 1331 of the family's 1533-position model. The record is from RNAcentral.
ACAUUGCUAACGCGGUGCUAAUACCGGAUGUGGUCUCCAGUUUGCAUGAACAGGAGAUUAAAGGUGACCUCUACUUGUAAGUUAUCGUUUAGGGAUGGUCUUGCGGACCAUUAGCUUGUUGGCGGGGUAACGGCCCACCAAUGCUGCGAUGGUUAGCCGGCUUAAGAGGGUGAUCGGCCACAUUGGGACUGAGAUACGGCCCAGACUCCUACGGGAGGCAGCAGUAGGGAAUUUUGCGCAAUGGACGAAAGUCUGACGCAGCAACGCCGCGUGAGCGAUGAAGGUUUUCGGAUUUGUAAAGCUCUGUUGAGUGGGAAGAAAACUCUCCGGGAUAAUACCCCGGAGACUUGACGGUACCACUCGAUGAAGCCCCGGCUAAAUACGUGCCAGCAGCCGCGGUAAUACGUAUGGGGCCAAGCGUUGUUCGGAAUCACUGGGCGUAAAGGGAGUGUAGGCGGAAAGGUAAGUUAGAAGUGUAAUCCACGGGCUUAACCCGUGACUCGCUUUUAAUACUGCUUUUCUUGAGUAUGGGAGAGGGAGAUGGAAUUCCAGGUGUAGCGGUGGAAUGCGUAGAUAUCUGGAAGAACACCAGUGGCGAAGGCGGUCUCCUGGCCCAAUACUGACGCUGAGGCUCGAAAGCGUGGGGAGCGAACAGGAUUAGAUACCCUGGUAGUCCACGCCGUAAACGAUGGACACUAGAUGUUGGCCUCUUCGGGGGUCGGUGUCGUAGCUAACGCGUUAAGUGUCCCGCCUGGGAAGUACGCUCGCAAGAGUGAAACUCAAAGGAAUUGACGGGGGCCCGCACAAGCGGUGGAGCAUGUGCUUUAAUUCGAUGCAACGCGAAGAACCUUACCUGGACUUGACAUGGGGGUGAAAGUUUUCAGAGAUGAAAACCCUUCCUUCGGGAACGCCCUACACAGGUGCUGCAUGGUUGUCGUCAGCUCGUGUCGUGAGAUGUUGGGUUAAGUCCCGCAACGAGCGCAACCCUUGUCCUUAGUUGCCAGCGGGUCAUGCCGGGAACUCUAGGGAGACUGCCUGGUACAACCAGGAGGAAGGUGGGGAUGACGUCAAAUCAUCAUGGCCCUUACGUCCAGGGCUAGACACGUGCUACAAUGGCCGGUACAGAGGGCUGCAAGACUGCGAAGUCAAGCCAAUCCCUAAAAACCGGUCUCAGUUCGGAUUGGAGUCUGCAAUUCGACUCCAUGAAGGUGGAA